CUUACCAUGCAGUCGAACGGCAGCACGGGGGCAACCCUGGUGGCGAGUGGCGAACGGGUGAGUAAUACAUCGGAACGUGUCCUGUAGUGGGGGAUAGCCCGGCGAAAGCCGGAUUAAUACCGCAUACGCUCUACGGAGGAAAGGGGGGGAUCUUAGGACCUCCCGCUACAGGGGCGGCCGAUGGCAGAUUAGCUAGUUGGUGGGGUAAAGGCCUACCAAGGCGACGAUCUGUAGCUGGUCUGAGAGGACGACCAGCCACACUGGGACUGAGACACGGCCCAGACUCCUACGGGAGGCAGCAGUGGGGAAUUUUGGACAAUGGGCGAAAGCCUGAUCCAGCAAUGCCGCGUGUGUGAAGAAGGCCUUCGGGUUGUAAAGCACUUUUGUCCGGAAAGAAAACCUCCGCCCUAAUAUGGUGGGGGGAUGACGGUACCGGAAGAAUAAGCACCGGCUAACUACGUGCCAGCAGCCGCGGUAAUACGUAGGGUGCAAGCGUUAAUCGGAAUUACUGGGCGUAAAGCGUGCGCAGGCGGUCCGCUAAGACAGAUGUGAAAUCCCCGGGCUUAACCUGGGAACUGCAUUUGUGACUGGCGGGCUAGAGUAUGGCAGAGGGGGGUAGAAUUCCACGUGUAGCAGUGAAAUGCGUAGAGAUGUGGAGGAAUACCGAUGGCGAAGGCAGCCCCCUGGGCCAAUACUGACGCUCAUGCACGAAAGCGUGGGGAGCAAACAGGAUUAGAUACCCUGGUAGUCCACGCCCUAAACGAUGUCAACUAGUUGUUGGGGAUUCAUUUCCUUAGUAACGUAGCUACGCGUGAAGUUGACCGCCUGGGGAGUACGGUCGCAGAUAAAU
This 850-nucleotide ribosomal RNA is filed under the name Paraburkholderia sediminicola. RNAcentral's name for it is "bacterial SSU rRNA". It matches the Rfam family "Bacterial small subunit ribosomal RNA", at positions 48 to 898 of the family's 1533-position model. The record is from RNAcentral. Lineage: Bacteria; Pseudomonadati; Pseudomonadota; Betaproteobacteria; Burkholderiales; Burkholderiaceae.